GAUGAACGCUGGCGGCGUGCCUAAUACAUGCAAGUCGAGCGAACGGACGAGAAGCUUGCGUCUCUGAUGUUAGCGGCGGACGGGUGAGUAACACGUGGAUAACCUACCUAUAAGACUGGGAUAACUUCGGGAAACCGGAGCUACUACCGGAUGAUAUUUUGAACCGCAUGGUUCAAAAGUGAAAGACGGCCUUGCUGUCACUUAUAGAUGGAUCCGCGCUGCAUUAGCUAGUUGGUAAGGUAACGGCUUACCAAGGCAACGAUGCAUAGCCGACCUGAGAGGGUGAUCAGCCACACUGGAACUGAGACACGGUCCAGACUCCUACGGGAGGCAGCAGUAGGGAAUCUUCCGCAAUGGGCGAAAGCCUGACGGAGCAACGCCGCGUGAGUGAUGAAGGUCUUCGGAUCGUAAAGCUCUGUUAUUAGGGAAGAACAUAUGUGUAAGUAACUGUGGACAUCUUGACGGUACCUAAUCAGAAAGCCACGGCUAACUACGUG
RNAcentral lists this ribosomal RNA (497 nucleotides) under uncultured bacterium. Its description in RNAcentral is "partial 16S ribosomal RNA". It matches the Rfam family "Bacterial small subunit ribosomal RNA", at positions 28 to 507 of the family's 1533-position model. The record is from RNAcentral.